This 468-nucleotide ribosomal RNA is filed under the name uncultured bacterium. RNAcentral describes it as "partial 16S ribosomal RNA". It matches the Rfam family "Bacterial small subunit ribosomal RNA", at positions 28 to 507 of the family's 1533-position model. The record is from RNAcentral.
GACGAACGCUGGCGGCGUGCUUAACACAUGCAAGUCGAACGGAAAGGCCCUGCUUUUGUGGGGUGCUCGAGUGGCGAACGGGUGAGUAACACGUGAGUAACCUGCCCUUGACUUUGGGAUAACUUCAGGAAACUGGGGCUAAUACCGGAUAGGAGCUCCUGCUGCAUGGUGGGGGUUGGAAAGUUUCGGCGGUUGGGGAUGGACUCGCGGCUUAUCAGCUUGUUGGUGGGGUAGUGGCUUACCAAGGCUUUGACGGGUAGCCGGCCUGAGAGGGUGAACGGCCACAUUGGGACUGAGGUACGGCCCAGACUCCUACGGGAGGCAGCAGUGGGGAAUAUUGCACAAUGGGCGGAAGCCUGAUGCAGCAACGCCGCGUGCGGGAUGACGGCCUUCGGGUUGAAAACCGCUUUCGCCUGUGACGAAGCGUGAGUGACGGUAAUGGGUAAAGAAGCACCGGCUAACUACGUG